UACAUAUAAUACACAUUUCAUGUAUAUAUAUUAUAUAUGAAAAGUGUGAAUAUUCUUAUUUGAAUAAAUGAAAUAUGAUUAUCACAUACAGAGAUCAGUGACACUACUAUCGGUAUUUCGCCAUUCUAUCUACAUGUAUGACUUAUACAAGAAACAGUUUGAGUCUCUCUCCGUCGCAAGUUUCGCCCAAUAAGUGCGGCUUUUUAACGGACACUCGUUUGAAAAGGCUUCUCAAGUUAAAUUUAACCGCAUUUUUAACUGCUAACCACGGUUAACUGAAUUUUUUCGCGAUCCGUGAUGUAGAAAAGAUCAAAAUAAAUUAUCAGAUAUGAAAUCGCAAUAUAUACCGCCCUUGCUAAAUCAAAGUCGUAUGACUUGUCGAAUUAAAUCGAGUGUAACUCGAAUUGUUUUUCUAAACGUUGUUGUAUCUGUAUACACUACACAGUUGUACAGAGUAAACAUCUCAGUAUCACGUUUUUGAUGGAAGCUUUACGUCAUAGCAUACUUUCGAGUGGAAAAAAAGCAAUGUUUAUCUGCGCAAGAACAUACGAUUUUUGAAUUGGAUGGUCUCAUUCAAAACGCCACAGUCUCUUUUGAGAUGUUUCUCUCUUCUAGUGCAAUUGGUUAUUAUUAUUUCCUUGGAAGAAGAAUUAUCAUUGUUAUUGUUAUACAUUAGCGUGGUAUCGUGUAAUCGGCUCGUUGAAGCAUUGUAAGCUGAUUUUCACAAUAAGCUGAACAAUGAGAUGCCGCUGACCAUUUUCUCGCAAUAGUUUCACAACUGUUACACGACAAAAGUCGACUUGAAAGCACAUAGUAAUUGUCUUGGAUAUCGAAUAGAUUGAAAAUUUCCCUCGCGACUGUGGUGGCCCCCCGCUAACGUGGUCUAUUUUACAAUAGUAGUAUUAAUUCGCUAAAAAUCGCCGUUCAAUGGAGUGCCGGAUUGACGAAUCGAUUUUUCGCGGGAAUGAACAAUACGAUUGUGUCUGGAAGUGUAUGAGUGUGUCGGGGAAGUAGAGGCAUCGUAAGAGAAUGAUCGCAGCUACCCGUAGCGUAUGUUAUUUACCGAGUUCUGUUUCAUAUAUCCCGUGUGUAUACAUAAGUACUUGAUUAUGUGAGAAUCGUGUUUUACACUGGUGUGUAGGUGUGUCAAAAUUAUUGAUUGGUUGUGUGUGAAAGAAGGCAUUUGAAAUUAAUCAGAUUUUUCUAUUUUUAGUUAAGCGAUGUGAAAAAGAAGCGUCUUACGUAUGUGGAUGCUUCUCCGGAGUAUCUGACGCAAAACGUGCGGGGCGUUUGUAAUGCUCGUCGAACAAAACACGAUCGAAUGAGCUCUACCUGCGCACGCCAUGCGUCGGAUCUCUACGUGUUGCAAGUAUUGAAUGCGUCAAUACUUUAAUGACAAGAUUCUCAAAUUGUUUUCUUCAACGACAAUGAAAUAAGUAGCUUUACACGUUGAGAGUAUUUAUUUGAAAGGAAAAAGAGUCUCUAUAGUAACACGACGAGGAACGAUGCAAUUCACACCUCACAAUUAUAGUCAAUAACUUUAACAUACGGAGUAUAUAGUUAUCGCAUAAUUAAAGACCACAUCUGUCACCGCGACGUCACCGGUGUGUACUGCAUUAAGAAAUUAUUUAGAACAACUAUCUCCUCAGAACACUAAUUACCUUAUGAGUAUAUACUAUUGAAGAAAAGGAAAAAAAAACAAAAAAUAAAUUAUAAUACUAAGAGAUGUAUGUGCUGUUGUGCUCUUCAUUUAAUCGUAAUUUUUCAUAAAACUUCCUACUUGAAGCGAAAAUAUUGCUGAAUAUCGUUAAUAUGCAAUCUAUUAGCAAAUAAUCUCUCUCACACAGUACUCUUUCUCUCUCAUUAGCGUCGAUUCUUGUCGUUACACGUGUCGUGUACACAAACAAUGGAAUGGAUUCUUGUGAACUUUCAAUCUAUUGGAAUGUUCGAAUUCCUUGUGUGUAUGACGGUUGAAUGUUAACGGUCGUCUCAGAGCUACGAGUAUGAAAGUUUUCACACUUAAUAAAAAUGAUGCCGUUUGUCAAGAGAAAGCGCGCGCGCGCGUGCGUGUCUCUUGACAACGCGAAGUGUAGCAAAAUGAGGUGACUGAAUUAAUAAUGUAAGGCGAGCGGAAAAUUGCUGUAUAAGUCUUAGCUUGAGAGUGAGCAAAAGUGGUCUGAUGUGUGUUUGGUAUAUACUUGACCGAGAUUGUUUAUAUGCAUAUAUGUAAAAAAGAUUAAAUCUCAGAGAUUUGAAGUGGAAAUAAACACAAUGAGAUGUGUAGAGCUCGUUGAUCGACAUUCUGCCGCGCUUCUUAAGUCUGUAAAUUGUUAGAUUCACUAUACACAGAGGCUGUAGUUUAAGACAACUUUUAACAGACAUUAGAACCGUAAUUAGCUUGUCGCUGACGCACAAACGUUCGCGCUUUAAUAUAUUAAUAUACGGAAAUAUUUUCAGGGAACGCAAUUCCAAUACGCAAGAUACGUGAAGUGAAAUGAAGUAAAAAUAUAAUUUGUACGAGAAGUAAAAUAAAGUGUGGAUGACGAGAGAGAGAGAGAGAGAGAGAGAGAGAGAGAGAGAGAGACAACUGUAUGAUGGACAAUAGUCGAUUAAUCAGUCUGAACAUUCGUGCGUCAGUAGUCGCAAUCACGGAUCAUUUCAAAUCGUUUGAAAUAACGAUGCCUACGUCUUGGUGUACUACUACAGAUUGAUCGAUCAGGAGAGAGAGAGAGAGAGAGAGAGAGAGAGAGAGAGAGAGAGAGAGAGAACCACCGCGACACAGUAAAUAAGCUCUUCGUGAUCCCUCAAUAAUUCAUCUUGUAGAAGUGAGAUUUCACGCGACUCACACGGGACUUUACUGCUCAAAGGAGUUGCCUUGCAAAACGAUUUGAAAGUGAUCUACGAGAAGUGUGUAAAUACGGAUUGAUAAAGCAAUUUUAAUAUCGCUCAUACGAGAUGUAACGAAUUUUACUGUAAAGUUAGCUGUGCGUUCUUGUAAAUCGCUCGAUAUGUUAUAUUAUGUAUUCUGAGAGAAAGAAAGAAUGAGAGAGAGAGAGAGAGAGAGAGAGAGAGAGAGAGAGAUAGAGAGAGAGAGAGAGAGAGAGGAAGUGAAACUGUGCGUGGCAGUUAGUUGAGUUGAAAUGUGUGUCGUGAAACAUUGUCGUGUGAGAAUGUUGAUUUUAAUCCGUCGAUCUCAAUUGUUGAGGGAUUUCGAGCCGCGUCGCGAGAAAGGACUCACAGUGAGAAACCGCCGUGCGAAUCCGGCUUUCUUCUUUUUACACUUUUGAGAUACCUCGGAGCUACACAAUUCGAAGUCGAAUGAGAAUUGACUCAUCGAGGAUUUUUUUACCUGUACCGUGUGUUGCGCGAGACUUUGUGGGUGUGAGUUAUUAGUUUGAUGAUCGCGAACGACGUAUUCCCCAUAUACGUACGUACGUUUUCCAAUUUGCGUUGACGACGUGAAAUCAAUCGCAAGACAUUCUCCGAAUCGCCGCGGUGCAAAAAAUACUCAAGUAACGUCGUUCUCCGUUGAUUGUAGUGUAUGUUAAACUAUGCCGAGAAUAAAAAACCCAAACAUCGUGGGUAUCACACAUAUCCUCUCACGUGCCUUUAAAUAUUGAGUUAACGUACAGUGGCGCACUUCCCGGCUGUCCCAGAAUUAGCAGAAAAUAGGUACAACACGUAGUUUGUUACCUCUCGUGAAAUUUGAAAACUAAUUUCGUUAACAAUGCCAAGACGUCGAUUAAGUUCCUUCCGGAGAUAAGUGGCUUUUCGCACAAAUUAAAUCUGAAGAGAUGAAAACGAUUCAUCAUUAUAAGUCUAUGAAAGAAAUAGACUUCCGAGUUUUUAAAGCGAAAAGUUGCGAGAUUGGCGUUAAUUCCGGGACACCUGGUAUAUUUCAGAUCUGUCUGUCGUGCGCACAUCGGAGACAAAAAUCGAUAUUUCGUUUUUAUCUCAUUCAUUUUUUCGAGACCCCUUGAAAUUCUCAAGAAAGAAAAACAUUGUUCGGCUGCGUGCGCAAGAUUUUUAUUCUCAUGAAUUAUAUCAACCCGCACGUCGGAAAACGGAGCCUAAUUAGGACAUGCAGUUACAUCGCGAGAUGAGGGCACGGUCGUAGGGCAACGUUUGAAAUGAUAAUAUCGUGAAAACGAGAGCGGAAGUGUACGAAAGGUAACGUAACAGUGCACUGGUAACACCGGCCUUUUGGGUGAUGAUGACUGAAUGAAGAGAUGCUCGCUAUGGUAGACGUAAGACUGUGGAAACGCCCGCUGAUCCUCAAAACAGCCUACGACAGAUGAAUAUAUUGUGUCAUGAUGAGUUGAUGUCCGUACGUGAACGUACCUCUGGAUGGAACACGAAGUGUUGAUGCACGUGGAAAGAAAGAUCGAAAGCGAGUGAGCGAGAGAGAAAGAAUUUGGAGAGAUAUGAGAGAGCGAGAGAGAGAGAGAGAGAGAGAGAGAAAUAGGGAGCGUGCGAGCGAGAGAACGAGCGAGAGAGAGGGAGAGAAAGAGGAGAGUAUAUCUUUGCAGGAGAUUAAUUGCAAGUGAGAUGAUAUGAGAAUGAGCAUGAUGAUGAUGAUGAUGCACUGUGCCGAGAGCGAGUGCUUUUUGAAAGCGUGGACUUUUUUUCGUAAGCGUGCUGUGAUAUUGCGAGAACAUCCGUCGCGAUCGACGUCGAUCGUUGAUCGUUAAUUGUCGCUUUCGCGACACGAGACAGGUAAUUCCCAGGCAGUCGCGAAUGCAGAAGUUAUGAUUGGAGAACAGAUCUGCGGGCAGUUUGUGAGAAGUCGCGGUCGAUGACACAAACAGCGAGGGACUGUAGGAUUAAAGUAAUCAACCAAUACAUGCUCUGAUAUUUAUAUUCAACUUUUCUCUCAUGUUUAAAUUGGUAAUUUUUAAUUUAACUUAUGUAGAUAUUUAUUAAAGAGAUGUAAAAAUGUCAUAUAAAUAUGCCGCACACAUA
This is a long non-coding RNA of Dinoponera quadriceps, 4962 nucleotides long. RefSeq lists it as uncharacterized. The transcript has 3 exons. NCBI's taxonomy places the organism in Eukaryota, Metazoa, Arthropoda, Insecta, Hymenoptera, Formicidae. The record is from RefSeq and is a predicted model, not a curated record.